RNAcentral lists this transfer RNA (75 nucleotides) under Pseudomonadota bacterium. Its description in RNAcentral is "tRNA-Val". It matches the Rfam family "tRNA". From Rfam's summary of the family: Transfer RNA (tRNA) molecules are approximately 80 nucleotides in length. The record is from RNAcentral. Lineage: Bacteria; Pseudomonadati; Pseudomonadota. RNAcentral also lists the same sequence under 1 other name.
AGGCACGUAGCUCAGUGGUAGAGCACCGCUCUGACACGGCGGGGGUCGCCGGUUCAAGCCCGGCCGUGCCUACCA